MicroRNA precursor from Medicago truncatula (barrel medic), 80 nucleotides. It matches the Rfam family "MIR5269 microRNA precursor family". NCBI's taxonomy places the organism in Eukaryota, Viridiplantae, Streptophyta, Magnoliopsida, Fabales, Fabaceae. The record is from Rfam.
UUGGAUAAAAUCAAUGUAGGAUCUACACUUUGGAAAUGUAACCCACAUAAAGUGGUGGGACAUACAUUGAUUUCACACAA